This 467-nucleotide ribosomal RNA is filed under the name uncultured ciliate. RNAcentral's name for it is "SSU rRNA". It matches the Rfam family "Eukaryotic small subunit ribosomal RNA". Lineage: Eukaryota; Ciliophora. The record is from RNAcentral.
AUUUGUCUGGUUAAUUCCGAUAACGAACGAGACCUUAACCUGCUAACUAGUUCUCAAUACACUGUAUUGUGAUACUUCUUAGAGGGACUAUGUAAAUCAAUUACAUGGAAGUUUGAGGCAAUAACAGGUCAGUGAUGCCCUUAUAUGUCCUGGGCUGCACGCGUGCUACACUGAUGCAUACAACAAGUGCCUAGCCAGAUAUGGUAUGGCAAUCUCGAAUAUGCAUCGUGAUGGGGAUAGAUCUUUGCAAUUAUAGAUCUUGAACGAGGAAUUCCUAGUAAGUGCAAGUCAUCAUCUUGCAUUGAUUAUGUCCCUGCCCUUUGUACACACCGCCCGUCGCUCCUACCGAUACCGGGUGAUCCGGUGAACCUUUUGGACUCCGUAUGGGGAAAGAUAAGUAAACCAUAUCACCUAGAGGAAGGAGAAGUCGUAACAAGGUUUCCGUAGGUGAACCUGCRGAAGGAUCA